This 701-nucleotide ribosomal RNA is filed under the name Salmonella enterica subsp. enterica. RNAcentral describes it as "partial 23S ribosomal RNA". The stretch from base 80 to 701 matches the Rfam family "Bacterial large subunit ribosomal RNA", at positions 566 to 1190 of the family's 2925-position model. Lineage: Bacteria; Pseudomonadati; Pseudomonadota; Gammaproteobacteria; Enterobacterales; Enterobacteriaceae. The record is from RNAcentral. RNAcentral also lists the same sequence under 1 other name.
AAAGCAUUCUCUGGUGUUGAAGGCCCUGCAAAGCAGCAUCGCGGUGGCGGAGCGUCGUUUGCGACGCCCAACACACAAAACAAGCGGUGAAUGCUUUGGGGUGGGGUGACUGCGUACCUUUUGUAUAAUGGGUCAGCGACUUAUAUUCUGUAGCAAGGUUAACCGAAUAGGGGAGCCGGAGGGAAACCGAGUCUUAAUUGGGCGUUAAGUUGCAGGGUAUAGACCCGAAACCCGGUGAUCUAGCCAUGGGCAGGUUGAAGGUUGGGUAACACUAACUGGAGGACCGAACCGACUAAUGUUGAAAAAUUAGCGGAUGACCUGUGGCUGGGGGUGAAAGGCCAAUCAAACCGGGAGAUAGCUGGUUCUCCCCGAAAGCUAUUUAGGUAGCGCCUCGUGAAUUCAUCUCCGGGGGUAGAGCACUGUUUCGGCUAGGGGGCCAUCCCGGCUUACCAACCCGAUGCAAACUGCGAAUACCGGAGAAUGUUAUCACGGGAGACACACGGCGGGUGCUAACGUCCGUCGUGAAGAGGGAAACAACCCAGACCGCCAGCUAAGGUCCCAAAGUCAUGGUUAAGUGGGAAACGAUGUGGGAAGGCCCAGACAGCCAGGAUGUUGGCUUAGAAGCAGCCAUCAUUUAAAGAAAGCGUAAUAGCUCACUGGUCGAGUCGGCCUGCGCGGAAGAUGUAACGGGGCUAAACCAU